UACGGAGGGGACUAGCGUUGUUCGGAAUUACUGGGCGUAAAGGGCGCGUAGGCGGCCUUCUAAGUCGAACGUGAAAUCCCUGGGCUCAACCCAGGAACUGCGUCCGAUACUGGAAGGCUUGAAUCCGGGAGAGGGAUGCGGAAUUCCAGGUGUAGCGGUGAAAUGCGUAGAUAUCUGGAGGAACACCGGUGGCGAAGGCGGCAUCCUGGACCGGUAUUGACGCUGAGGCGCGAAAGCCAGGGGAGCAAACGGG
RNAcentral lists this ribosomal RNA (253 nucleotides) under uncultured bacterium. Its description in RNAcentral is "partial 16S ribosomal RNA". It matches the Rfam family "Bacterial small subunit ribosomal RNA", at positions 524 to 776 of the family's 1533-position model. The record is from RNAcentral.